GCCAGGAGCCACCUGAGGCAGAACUGCGCUGGAGGCAGCUGGGCCAGGCCUGUGAGGGCAGCUUUGUGCUUCUCUUCCCCGCUCUGGGCUCUGCUUGACCAGGUUCUCAGGAGAAUCAGCCCUAGGGGGGGCCUGGCCCUGUGGCUCUGCAGAGCCCGAAGUCAGAUAUGCACCGGACUUCAGGAGGUUACAGCUGAGAGACAUGUUAACUUGUGAGAACGAGCAUGGAGCCAUUUUUGUUCUUCUUGCACAAGAAGAAAAACUGUAGAAUCUUUCUAAAAAACGUAGAAAACCUUUGUUGGGUGCGAAGCUACAAGCUGAGGACACUGGCUGAUUCUUUGAGAGACUUAAAAAAAUAUCAAGAAUGGAAAAUACUGGAAAAUGAGCUGGAUAAACCGGGCUCACCCACUGGGGUCUCCCGCAUGACGAGGCCAAGAGGAUCUGGAAUACGUUCCCUCGUCAAGCCUUUUCUGAAGGGACUUCCCUGUGGUUAG
This 494-nucleotide long non-coding RNA is filed under the name Fukomys damarensis (Damara mole-rat). Its description in RNAcentral is "lncRNA (ENSFDAG00000028850.1)". Lineage: Eukaryota; Metazoa; Chordata; Mammalia; Rodentia; Bathyergidae. The record is from RNAcentral.